UUGAUCUUGGGAUUGGGAUAUGAGAGGAAAGUGAAAGAAAUGAACCAAAAGAGUAAGAAAAAGAAAGAAAACCACUAGGGAUAAAAAAAAAAAAAAAAAACCCCAAGGGAAAAAAAAAAAAAAAAAAAGCUCUAAAGUUUAUAAGUAGAAUCCCCUUUAGAAUCAAAAGAAAAGAAACAUGAAAAGAGUGGGGAAAAGAAAAGAAAAAGAAGAGCUUAGUGAAUAAGAAAAGAAAAAAUUCCUAGUUGGUUAAGAUAAGUGAAAGAAAAGUGUUCAUUGUGUGAGAGAUGAGAGUGUGGUCUUUGGGGUGUUUGAGAUGAAAAAGGGUUGAGAUUACCCAAGAAAAGGGAUAGAGUUUAAAGAUCUUUAGGAAAGAGGUAGAAUGAUGAGAACAAAUCAUUGUAUGCAUGAAUUGCUCCUUUUCUUAGAUAAACUUUGCAUAACGUUCUUGCUCCUAUUUUUUUUGAGUGUGAGUCACCACAAAAUAUGCAUUUGAAAACCCUUUGCUUCACAUUAGACCAAUUUCACUCACCAAGCCAAAUGAUUGAGAUCAUGUGCCCAUUUGAAAGAAUCCACCUUGUGUGUGUGCGUGUGAAUAAAUGUGAGAGUUGGUUGAAGGUAUUUGUUGCUUGAUUAGCAUUGCGACCUGUGUAAAGGAAUAAGAGCAUUGAUAGGCCUAGAGAAGCUAGAGUAUAACAAGAAGUGUUUGGCUAUGAGCUCCCACCUUCAAACCUCUCAUCCCUAUGAGUUCUUGAAAGUUCACUUAGGGACAAGUAAAGAACAAGUUUGGGGGAGUUGAUAUCUUGUAUAAUUACAUGAUUUUAGCCA
RNAcentral lists this long non-coding RNA (828 nucleotides) under Brassica napus (rape). RNAcentral's name for it is "long non-coding RNA (BNAP_LNC009978)". The record is from RNAcentral. Lineage: Eukaryota; Viridiplantae; Streptophyta; Magnoliopsida; Brassicales; Brassicaceae.